CGAACGGGCACUUCGGUGCUAGUGGCAGACGGGUGAGUAACACGUGGGAACGUACCUUUCGGUUCGGAAUAAUUCAGGGAAACUUGGACUAAUACCGGAUACGCCCUUCGGGGGAAAGAUUUAUCGCCGAUAGAUCGGCCCGCGUCUGAUUAGCUAGUUGGUGAGGUAAUGGCUCACCAAGGCGACGAUCAGUAGCUGGUCUGAGAGGAUGAUCAGCCACAUUGGGACUGAGACACGGCCCAAACUCCUACGGGAGGCAGCAGUC
This 265-nucleotide ribosomal RNA is filed under the name uncultured Allobosea sp. RNAcentral describes it as "uncultured Bosea sp. partial 16S ribosomal RNA". It matches the Rfam family "Bacterial small subunit ribosomal RNA", at positions 63 to 355 of the family's 1533-position model. The record is from RNAcentral. Lineage: Bacteria; Pseudomonadati; Pseudomonadota; Alphaproteobacteria; Hyphomicrobiales; Alloboseaceae.